Molecule: ribosomal RNA, 442 nt
Filed under: uncultured Planctomycetota bacterium
Lineage: Bacteria; Pseudomonadati; Planctomycetota
Description: bacterial SSU rRNA
Rfam family: Bacterial small subunit ribosomal RNA
Source: RNAcentral
CCUACGGGUGGCUGCAGUCGAGGAUCUUCGUCAAUGGGCGAAAGCCUGAACGAGCGAUGCCGCGUGCGCGAUGAAGGCCUUCGGGUUGUAAAGCGCGAAAGAGGGGAUAAAGGGAAACUUGAUGGAACCUCAGUAAGCUCGGGCUAAGUUCGUGCCAGCAGCCGCGGUAAGACGAACCGAGCGAACGUUGUUCGGAAUCACUGGGCAUAAAGGGCGCGUAGGCGGGGAUGUAAGUCCGUGGUGAAAUACCCUGGCUCAACCAGGGAACUGCCUCGGAUACUGUGUCUCUCGAGGAAGAUAGGGGCUUGCGGAACGGCUGGUGGAGCGGUGAAAUGCGUUGAUAUCAGUCGGAACUCCGGUGGCGAAGGCGGCAAGCUGGAUCUUUUCUGACGCUGAGGCGCGAAAGCCAGGGGAGCAAACGGGAUUAGAUACCCCAGUAGUC